UGCCCAGCAACUCCUAUCCCUACCUCCUCGUGGUACUGCCCGGGGUACGAGUAACCUUGGGGAAGAUCGGGUAACCAAACCCCGGUGGGAACUUUGGUCGUAUGCUGACAGGGAAGG
This 117-nucleotide ribozyme is filed under the name Aedes aegypti (yellow fever mosquito). RNAcentral describes it as "drz-agam-1 ribozyme". It matches the Rfam family "drz-agam-1 ribozyme". The record is from Rfam by way of RNAcentral. Lineage: Eukaryota; Metazoa; Arthropoda; Insecta; Diptera; Culicidae.